ACAGAUUGUGUUGCAUACGAGAUAUAUUAUCAUCAAAUCGUCUCUUUCUUCAUCCUGUUCACGUGAAGAUGAUUGAUUCUAGACGGCUAGGGUUGCCCUUGCUCCUCCCAGCCUUCCCUCUUCACCUAUUUCUAUGUACAUGAGCCGACGAGUUCCUGGUGAGAUACAUCGUCAAGGAAACGAAGCGCUCGGCGACCUACUCGAAGGCAAGGAUGCGGUGGAGGCCUGGGGAGCGCUCCUCGGUCGACGGGUACCUGCAGGAACAGGAGGUCGAGGAGUGCCUGCAGUGGCGGCACGACAAGGAGGCGCCUUCGUCCUGUACGUAAACUUCGGAAGAAUCGUAGUCAUACUCAGCGAACCGGUCGUACAGGUAUAAUCUGACUAAUUAAUUGCGGCAGGCAGUCCACGUGGAUAAUCUGACUAAUUGUGUGUCAAUUUCGAGUCCCAUGGCUAAGAGCGGCAUGUAGUUCAUGGAUAAUCUGACUAAUUAUGUGUCAAUCAUAGCCUCAUAUUUUCUGUGUCCAGUUUCCUCUCCUCGGUGCAUGGAUUCAUCUCACGUCUCCAAGCAUGAUGUACACAACUCCAUGUAGGUACGUAUGAAGUACGAUGCUUUUCGAUUUGUUAACAAUUUGUCUUUCCAGUAUGCAUGGUUUUUCCGACAAUAAGACAUCGGGUCACUAAGUUUGGACUUCAAAUAGAGUCACCAGCGUGGAUCAAUCCAUACUUGCAGAUUCGCCGCGUACAUGCAUGAGGACUCGAGUCCCAUGUGUCUAACUGUAGGUACUUCAAGACAUAUAUAGCAGCUUUACAUAGAUGAUACUAAGCAUAUGGGGAUGCAUUCGCCUACACUGUGGCUUUGUUUUGGCCAUUCAUUGAAUCCGUACAUAUUAGUUUUUCUUAUUCCCUCUCCUAAUAACCAUGCCUGCUACUAAUCCAUGUUUUCCAAUGUCUCUGCAAUUUCUAUCCUCCACUUUCAGCAUAUAUGUGUCAUGGUGCACAAAAAGUUGUUACUUGCACAAUUGCAUUACUUCAUGGCCAAGGAUGAAUAUAGAGCAUGAUGAAGAGUAGAGCAAUUUCUCUGACUGGAACUGGUCUAUAUUAAAUGGGUGUCUAUGACUACCAGCAACAUGGACGAAGCAAGAAUUUUUUUCAUGGCUCACUUCUAUGCUAGAUUUCUCAGUUCCAUUGGGGUCAGCCACUAUGUCAGCUCCGCCGUUGCUGUAUUCAAAACUUUAAUUUUAAUUUGUAUGCUAGAUUUCUAAUUUUUAUGUGAACCAUGCCUGCUACUAGUCCGUGUUUCCGAUUGUCUCCUUAAUUUCUAUCAUCCACGUUGACCAUAUAUGUGGGAUGGCACACACAAAGUUUUUACUUGCACAGGUGUGUUUCGUUAUGGCCAAGGAUGAAUAUAGAACAUGGUGAGGAUCGAUGCAUGAUGAGGUAUGUUUUUGUAUUUAAUGUAGUAGGGAAAUUAUUAUUCUGUGUUUUAGUAAGUUUGCUUUUUUCACUUUUCUAGAGGAAGAAUAGCACAAUUUCUCUAAUUGGAAUUUGUCUAUAUUAAAUUGGUGCCUAUGACUAUGUGUAGUUAUACAAGACCAACAUGGAUGAAGCUCUAAUUAUUUUUAUGGCUCGGCUCUAUGCUAGAGAUUUCUAACUUACAUUGGGGUCGGCUGAUCCCAAUGCCACUAUGUCAGCUUUGCCAUCCCUAACUCAAACUUUUAAUUUUAACUGGGCUGCUGCAAAAUUCUUGAUGGAAAUGAUCAAGCCCUCAAAGGUUAUCCCCUGUAACAAAGCAACCAAGAUAAAUUUAUACAAAAGGAAAAAUAGAGCACUCAUCAGGGCACAUUUCUUUAAUAACAAUGCAACAUUGACGUGUAGUCUGUAACUAAACUUGGAAGUAAUUUUUUCACAUAGUACUAUCGUCACUGUUGUACAACAUCUGCACUAUCUACGAUUGAGAUUUCAAUUUUGCACAUAUCUGUAUUUUUUCAAGUAAAAUAAAUAAUGUUACCUGUGGUUCUUUGCUAUGAUGUUCAACCAAAGGCUUUCUUGAAGUUGUGACGCUCUUCAAUUUCCAAAUAUACUAAGUUGUGCUGUUAGUUCAGUUACAACUUAUUUGUUGUACCAUUGCUUAGUUUCUUAAAUAACUUGAAUAAGGUGUGAUUUUUAUUUACCAAUUGUUUUCAUCACUCAAUGAUUUUGAAUGGUAUCUGAAGUGUUAAGUGUAUGAUAUAUUCAUAUGAAGUAUAUUAGAGUAUU
Aegilops tauschii subsp. strangulata is the source of this 2256-nucleotide long non-coding RNA. RefSeq lists it as uncharacterized. NCBI's taxonomy places the organism in Eukaryota, Viridiplantae, Streptophyta, Magnoliopsida, Poales, Poaceae. The record is from RefSeq and is a predicted model, not a curated record.